RNAcentral lists this long non-coding RNA (1272 nucleotides) under Mus musculus (house mouse). Its description in RNAcentral is "predicted gene, 30788". Lineage: Eukaryota; Metazoa; Chordata; Mammalia; Rodentia; Muridae. The record is from RNAcentral.
AGAUGCUGUGCUCACCCCAGAGACGGAUGGAUCACACCGUUGAAAUUUUCUCCAUGUGUGUGACUCAUUUGUGUGCAUCUAUGUACAGGCCAGUUAACGCUGCCUGUCUAUGCACGGAUGCUGAGAUUCGGGAGCAUCCACUGGAGCACAGGAAACCUACAAGUGGUCACAUCCUUAACAAAGAGUGAUUCUCCCUCUUCCAGCAAAUAUCCACUACGAAUAGCUCCUCACUAUGGAGUGAGGCUUGGGGAUCAUCGACCCAUCUAUACCAGGAUUUUGGCUAGCCUUGCCUUGUGUACAUCUUGUGCAGGUAUUCUCCAAUUGCUGCUAACUGGUGCCAUAGAGAAAAAGUCACACUCCGCACCUUGUGAGAGAAGCUACUCCAGGUGAGAAGCCACUCUUGAGGCUCCAGGUGAGAAGCCACUCUUCCGGGUCUGUGUUAGGAACCAUUCUUCAGGUUCCACGUUUGAAAAGCCAGCUCUUCCGGUUCUGUGUCAAGAGUCACCUCUUCAGGUUCUACGUUCAAAGCCACUCUUCAGGGACUGUGUGAGAAGCCACGCUUCAGGCUCCACUCUUCCCUCAGGCUCCUGCCAGCACGGGCUGAACAGCUAUGCCACAGUUCUUCACGAAAAUGAACCGAGAUCUAAACCAGGAUUCCCUCCUUUAAGUUGUUUCUGGUUGACAAAAUUCAUCAUCGCGGGAGCUGUGUUUUGAAAGUGCCUGAAAGUGACAGACCUCUUCUGAGCCUAAACUCUGAGCAAGCCCAGUUCCCAAAGAUCCCCAGGCCUGUGUGUGCUAAUGGAAACUCCAGUCACUUCUUAGAACGACUUCUGGCUGAACCCCAGGACACAGCUCUCAGGACGGUGGGAUGUCAGCCCCCUAGACAAGUCAUCUUGUUCAGUUCUCCCAACCUUCCUUGGAGAAGCUCCUUCCUUCCAGCACUUGGUGACCCAAGCACCAAGACCACCCCUUGCCAGCCUCCAUCAGAGGCCCCGAGCAUCAGGGAUACACUUCUGCAAGAGACACGUCAACCCAGAGGUUUCAGCUGCAGCCCUAGGGAUCCCUGAAGUUCUACAGAGGAGAAUUAGUGAGACACUGAAGGAAACCAGCGAUGCUUGAGGUCUCCCAGCCCUGUCUCAGCCAGAAUGGCUGGGAUACUACUGUAAUUGAAUACGGGUACCCUAUAUACUUUUGUUUAUAGAAAGGGUUCUGUGUCACUAAAACGUUUAUAAAACAUGUGUCUGUACUAAUAAAUUUUAUAAUGGAAACAAA